Molecule: long non-coding RNA, 777 nt
Filed under: Nicotiana tabacum (common tobacco)
Lineage: Eukaryota; Viridiplantae; Streptophyta; Magnoliopsida; Solanales; Solanaceae
Description: long non-coding RNA (NTAB_LNC007238)
Source: RNAcentral
UUAAAGGAGAUGAGCUAAAAAAUACAGAAAAAAAGAAGCUUAAGACCUAAGCAACAACGAUCCUCCAUGGGUCUUCUUCACAAAAUCAAAGAAAAACCAAAAAGGGAAGAUCCCUAAGCUAAAUAAGAGGAACGACCGCAGUAACCGAAAAUCACGACCCCACCCCAAAACUUUGAUCUUCGAUUUCAGUCGAUUCAGCUGUGUCGGUGAAUGUUAAAUGGAGUUGUGUUUCUCGUUAGAUUGAAGAAUAUUAGUUCAAUGAUCGGAUUCCGAUUUGCAAAAUACAAGGUUUUUCUAUACUUCAAUAAUUGAAAAAAUACAAGAAUAGUACACCUCUGUUUUUUCUUUUUGAUUUCUUUAUAUUUUUCAAAAAAUGGAAUUUGAUUAAAUUUGAGUGUAGUUUGAGCUCGCCGCGAGUCUGAAGUUGCCGAUAGAGGUUUCCGGUUCGAGUUCUGUCCAAUAGCUCGCUCAAGAUUCAUUGUUUGGAGCUUCCAUUACUAUACCCGUCGGGAAAUUUUCAGCAAAUCAAGGUCCAUCCUUUUCCGUUGUUUUACUGUCGAUAUUGCAAAAUCUCGUGUUUGUCUCAAUUUGUGAAUGUUAUAUGUGUUGAUCCACCAUUUUUUUCUCCUUAUUAUUUAUGAUAGUUUAAUUGUGCUCUUUAGAUUAGUCAUAGAAUUUAAGUGAAUGAUUUUUUUAAUCAGUUAAUAAUAGAGGGACCAUAGUAUUUGAGCUAAAAGUUGUAAACAUUACCACUAACAUUACACACUUGAUACCCAC